CACGAGUCGUUCGCGACGGUUUAUCAACGCAGUUAUCGCAUUCCGAUUAGAAUCCCCGUGGCGUGUGCAUAGCUAUACAAACACGCGUGUAGGCGAGACAGAAAUCUCUCUCUCUCUUGUGACUUCGCGAUUUUUCUUCC
Molecule: long non-coding RNA, 140 nt
Organism: Apis florea (little honeybee)
Lineage: Eukaryota; Metazoa; Arthropoda; Insecta; Hymenoptera; Apidae
Source: RefSeq, a predicted model, not a curated record